Molecule: ribosomal RNA, 109 nt
Filed under: Sphenodon punctatus (tuatara)
Lineage: Eukaryota; Metazoa; Chordata; Lepidosauria; Sphenodontia; Sphenodontidae
Source: RNAcentral
UCCUACAGCCACACCGGACUGAACGCGCCCCAUCUUGGAAGCUAAGCAGUUCUGGGCCUGGCUAGUACUUGGAUGGGAGACCGCCUGGGAGUCUCGGGUGCUGUAGGCU